GUUACCCGAGGAGGCAGCGGAAGGACCGGUGGCUUUAUAAAGAUCCCACUUGUUCACCGUCGGCCCCUGCUGCUGCUGCCGCCGCCGCCCGGUGUCUCCGCGCUCUCUUUCGUUUGUCUCCGCCAAGUAAGCACCAAAAAUGCCCAGCAAGAGGAAGAAGAACAAGCGCCGCAUGAAGAGGGUGCAGGCCCAGAGGAGAGCACUCGAAGAGCAGUAUGCGGCCAACCGGCCGGCCAAGGCGGGCCCGGCGAUUGCCGUGAGUGCGCCCCCUGCAGCGACCCCGAAGAAAGCGGCCAAACCUCCAGCACCGGCUCCAAAGAAGAUCCCAGAGGCCGUUCCCAUUGCUGUUCCCAUCGCCGUGCCCAUCGCCGUGCCCGUUGUGGAGACGCCCAAAGUCGAACCCAAGCCAGUUGUGGAGGAACCCGUCGCACUGCCCGUCCCAGUCAAAGAAGAGGCACCAGAGCCCGAGGCUGUGGUGGCGGCAGUGGAACAGACUCCGGCAGAAGUGGAGGUUGAAGUCCCAGCGCCCGUCGCCGAAGAAGCGCCGGUCGUCGCCGAGACGCCACCGGUGGCGCCUUCUGAAGUUGAAGCGCCGGUCGCCGUCGAGACCCUGUCGCCUUCUGAAGUUGAAGCUGCCGUAGAACCCGAGGCUGAGCCCGUCAUUCCUGAAACAGAACCAGUAGCUGAGGUUACACCCCCGGCUGAGGCUCCAGUGGCUGCUCCCGCUGAGACUGAGGUUACUACGCUCGCCGCCGAGGCUCCGGCAGCAGCUCCUUCGGAGGCGGAGGUUGAGUCGGUUGAAGCUACAAUCGUGCCCACGGAGACGGAACCAACCGAGGCCAAACAGACGCAUGAUGUCUGCGAGCCAGAGACUCGGGUGGAGGCCGCGGCCUCGGCAGAGGAGGACACAGUCGCUGCCGUGGGAGCGGUCGCCGCGGUCGAAGAGGUCGCCGCGGUCGACCAACAGUCUGCCGAGGCGGAACCUGCUGCAGCCGAGGAGGUCGCGACGGCGGAGGAGAAGAUCGCCGAGACCGAACAGGCGACUGAAGCCGGCGUCAGUCCUGCAGCCGAGGAGGAAGCUGAAGUAGAAGUGUUGGCGGAAGAAGACGCACCAGCGGUCCCCGCUGAGCCGGUUACAAUCGCAGAGACUGUUCCUGUCCAAUCUGUGGAAAUCCCAGAGGUGCCAGCCUCCAUCCCCGAGGCGCCGGUAGAAGAAACUCCCGUGGCUGAAGUAACGGAGGCGCCCGUCCCCCAGGAUGUCGCCGACGUGGUGGUCGACGACUUCGUCGUCACGGAGUCCGUGUCAGCAGUGGAGGACGCCAUUGCCGAGUCUGUCGCCGACAAAGAGGUUCUGACAGUUGAUGCUACAGUCGUAACCGCGGAGACCGAACAGGAAAUCGUGGUCACGAGCGACGCCCCCAGCGCCCCGACAGAGUCCGUGGAUGCGACCCCCGCUGAGCCCGAGCCCGCCGCUGCCCCUGCGUUGGACACGGUCAUUGAUGCUGCUGUGGAUCAGAAAUGUCUGACCGUGCUGUCAGAGGAACCAAAGCCAGAAAUCCGUGACCUGCCGUGUCAGAUGCAGCUCGCCGUCGAGUCCAUGCAACUCAACUCAAUGGAGACGCCAGUGGAGACGGCGUUGAAUGGACACAUGGUUCCAGAGGUCUCCAUUGAGGGUUAGAGCCCCAGAGCAGGACCUUCCCCCCCCCGUGUAAGUUUCUCUCAUAUUGAAUCAGUCCUUUUAUCGCAUAGUUUAAAGAAUAUUGCAUUCUGGAGACUCGAGUUAAGACUUCUUCCUGCAGCCACUCACCAGGAUCCUGUCUUCUUUGUGCAAUUUCAGAUUCCCCUUUGGUGCCUUUGAGGACUCAAAGUUUUAAAGGGGGGGCUUUGCGACAGAACCGUCAGGAAAUCCGAGGAAUAUCCACACUUUGAAGUGCCUCUCCUGCCCCCGGUUUCCUGUCAAAAGCCCCAAACCAGAUGUCAACACUGAUGCGUUCGGGGCAGCAGAGCGGACUGUUGUCAUUCGUUUGCAGAAAAUGGAAACGCACCUAUUGUGGCUCCUUUUAAAAAAGAUAAAUAAAAUUAAAUAAAAAAAAAAUUAAAUAAAUAUGUAUUUCUCUCCCUGGAUUCGAGCAGUGACCGGUAUUUCUUACAUAAUCCCAUCUCUCUCGAACAUCUGCGAACACUGUAGCCUAAGUGAAAGCGGCUACAGUUUGCACUUGGGCCUUUUGUUCAUACAUUUUUCCUGUUUUUCUGAUUCACAUUUCUAAAUCUGAAUUUGCUUCGUCUCCUGUACCCGGGAGUCGCAGUGUCAAACUUCAACCCAGCUUCUGUUUCCGCCUCCUCUCAGGGCCACUGCUAACAUUAGUCUAAUGCUACAACACAUCCCAGAACUAGACGUUGGGGUGUUUCUGUCUUUUUUUGUUUUGUUUGUUUCUUUCCCUCGCUCCUUUUUUUUUAAAAAUUUUGUAUAGAUCAUAUGAUGUGCUACAGUUUUGUGUUCAAAGUCUGCUCUGGAGGGAGGGAAGUGAUUUUUUUAUUUUAGGGCUGUUUGAUGGUCUGACUUGAUCUAACUUUGAAAUAAAGCUGUUACGCAUCGUGAUGCUGAGUACGUGUUUCACUGUUCAUACACGGUUACGACACAACGGAAAUAUCCAAUUUAAAAUGUAUUUAAUUUGCAGGUCAGUUCAGUAGCAACAACAAUCUUUUGAGGGCUUUCAAAGAUUGUUUUUUUCUUUCUAAUUUAUCCUCUUGGAGCUGCAAC
This 2761-nucleotide long non-coding RNA is filed under the name Scophthalmus maximus (turbot). RNAcentral describes it as "lncRNA (ENSSMAG00000028873.1)". Lineage: Eukaryota; Metazoa; Chordata; Actinopteri; Pleuronectiformes; Scophthalmidae. The record is from RNAcentral.